AGUGAACGCUGGCGGUAGGCCUAACACAUGCAAGUCGAACGGCAGCACAGUAAGAGCUUGCUCUUACGGGUGGCGAGUGGCGGACGGGUGAGGAAUACAUCGGAAUCUACUUUUUCGUGGGGGAUAACGUAGGGAAACUUACGCUAAUACCGCAUACGACCUACGGGUGAAAGCAGGGGAUCUUCGGACCUUGCGCGAUUGAAUUAGCCGAUGUCGGAUUAGCUAGUUGGGGGGGUAAAGGCCCACCAAGGCGACGAUCCGUAGCUGGUCUGAGAGGAUGAUCAGCCACACUGGAACUGAGACACGGUCCAGACUCCUACGGGAGGCAGCAGUGGGGAAUAUUGGGCAAUGGGCGCAAGCCUGAUCCAGCCAUACCGCGUGGGUGAAGAAGGCCUUCGGGUUGUAAAGCCCUUUUGUUGGGAAAGAAAAGAAGCAGGUGAAUACCCCGAUGUUCUGACGGUACCCAAAGAAUAAGCACCGGCUAACUUCGUG
This 492-nucleotide ribosomal RNA is filed under the name uncultured bacterium. Its description in RNAcentral is "partial 16S ribosomal RNA". It matches the Rfam family "Bacterial small subunit ribosomal RNA", at positions 29 to 507 of the family's 1533-position model. The record is from RNAcentral.